UGGGGAAUAUUGCACAAUGGGCGCAAGCCUGAUGCAGCCAUGCCGCGUGUAUGAAGAAGGCCUUCGGGUUGUAAAGUACUUUCAGUCGGGAGGAAGGUGGUAAGGUUAAUAACCUUGGCAAUUGACGUUACCGACAGAAGAAGCACCGGCUAACUCCGUGCCAGCAGCCGCGGUAAUACGGAGGGUGCAAGCAUUAAUCGGAAUUACUGGGCGUAAAGCGCACGCAGGCGGUUUGUUAAGUCAGAUGUGAAAUCCCCGGGCUCAACCUGGGAACUGCAUCUGAUACUGGCAAGCUUGAGUCUCGUAGAGGGGGGUAGAAUUCCAGGUGUAGCGGUGAAAUGCGUAGAGAUCUGGAGGAAUACCGGUGGCGAAGGCGGCCCCCUGGACGAAGACUGACGCUCAGGUGCGAAAGCGUGGGGAGCAAACAGG
RNAcentral lists this ribosomal RNA (429 nucleotides) under Chloroflexota bacterium. RNAcentral describes it as "Chloroflexi bacterium partial 16S ribosomal RNA". It matches the Rfam family "Bacterial small subunit ribosomal RNA", at positions 355 to 776 of the family's 1533-position model. Lineage: Bacteria; Bacillati; Chloroflexota. The record is from RNAcentral.